AGAAUGAACGCUGGCGGCAUGCCUAACACAUGCAAGUCGAACGAACUACCUUCGGGUAGUUAGUGGCGCACGGGUGCGUAACGCGUGGGAAUCUGCCCUUGGGUUCGGAAUAACAGUGAGAAAUUACUGCUAAUACCGGAUAAUGUCGCAAGACCAAAGAUUUAUUGCCCAAGGAUGAGCCCGCGUAAGAUUAGCUAGUUGGUGGGGUAAAGGCCUACCAAGGCGACGAUCUUUAGCUGGUCUGAGAGGAUGAUCAGCCACACUGGGACUGAGACACGGCCCAGACUCCUACGGGAGGCAGCAGUGGGAAUAUUGGACAAUGGGCGAAAGCCUGAUCCAGCAAUGCCGCGUGAGUGAUGAAGGCCUUAGGUUGUAAGCUCUUUACCCAGGAAGAUAAUGACUGUACCGGGAGAAUAACGCCCCGGCUAACUCCGCGCCAGCAGCCGC
Molecule: ribosomal RNA, 447 nt
Filed under: uncultured bacterium
Lineage: Bacteria
Description: SSU rRNA
Rfam family: Bacterial small subunit ribosomal RNA
Source: RNAcentral